UACGAAGGUCCCAAGCGUUAUCCGGAUUUAUUGGGUUUAAAGGGUGCGUAGGCGGGUUAUUAAGUCAGUGGUGAAAGCUCCCAGCUCAACUGGGAAACUGCCAUUGAUACUGAUAGGCUUGAGUAUGAUUGAAGUGGGCGGAAUGUGUCAUGUAGCGGUGAAAUGCUUAGAUAUGACACAGAACACCGAUUGCGAAGGCAGCUCACUAAGCCAUAACUGACGCUGAUGCACGAAAGCGUGGGGAGCAAACAGG
This 253-nucleotide ribosomal RNA is filed under the name uncultured bacterium. RNAcentral describes it as "partial 16S ribosomal RNA". It matches the Rfam family "Bacterial small subunit ribosomal RNA", at positions 524 to 776 of the family's 1533-position model. The record is from RNAcentral.